AUUUAGAGGUAAGCUUCAGGAUGUGUGGAAACCUGCUUUCAAGUGGUUAUGCAGAUCUUGUCAAUUCCUAAAUCCCAAUUUGAGUGUACGAUGCCCACUGCAUUACUCUUUCUCCUUUCUUAUGUAUGUGAUGGUUUAUUUAAUAAAAAUUUUCUAAAAAGGGACCAGAACAGGAGUUCCCAUCGCGGCUCAGUGGUAAUGAACCUGACUAGUAUCCAUGAGGACACGGGUUAAGGAACCCAACUCGUAUCCAUGAGCAUGGGCUCGCUCAGUAGGUUGAGGAUCUGGCAUUGCCUGAGCUGUGGUGUAGGUCACAGACACGGCUCAGAGCUGGUGUUGCUGUGGCUGUGGGGUAGGCUGGCUGCUGCAGCACUGAUUCGACCCCUAGCCUGAGAACAUCCAAUGUCUUGGAUGUGGCUCUAAAAAGACAAAAAAAAAAAAAAAAAAAAAGACCAGAACCACCUUCUCUGUGGGAAUGGAAACACAAGAUAGGUUCUGAGCAGUUCCAAUGUUAAGUACUAUGAGUUGACUGGCAACAACAGAAUCUAUUUUUGAUGCACCAUGAUGCUACUCUGGAGUGUGCCGGCUGACAGCCAGUGACAGGAAUAGCCUAAAGGAUAUUCUGUGAAAUAACAGCAUUUGUGUUUCCCACGGGCAUCAGAGAUCCCGACCCUGACUCUCUGGCCCCUUGAUCUAUAUUAAUGCACACUCCCAAACCAUAGGGGCUAACAGCUGCUAAAUACUUGAUGGCAGGAGGAGAAAGGGUCAUGAAGUGAGGCUCCACUGGGCAUUUGCAUCUUUGCCUGAGAAUGUAUUGGGUUUGUUGGUACCAAGGGAAGAAAUGCCAUGAAACGUGAAUCACUUGCUCUUCACCAAGCUCCUGUGAGCCUUGCUGAUGCUUAGAUCUUUACUUGCCAACCUAGAGACUUUACAAUUGCAAAAGGAAUCCAAUAGCUUGACAUGUGUGUUCAUCAUUUAACACUUUCAGCCUGAGCAGGGAAAAGGAAAAAAGUGUAUCUGAAGAUACACUGCAUAACUAGGACCAUCUCAGAGGACUAAACUGAUUUAUGAUUCUGACACAUACAUAUCAGCCCAGAUGUUUCUCAAGGUGUAAUAAAAGUGGCAGGGUUUCUUACAAACUGGUGUGUCCCAUCUGGCCGAGAAUGUGUGUGUCCACAAAGAUGAUCCAUGUUAUCCUGGGAAUUAUUAGGAUGCAAUAGCAUCAGAGGCAGUAGAGCCAGAUAGCUCUAAUCUAGUCUCAUCGCUUGCAGACAAAAGCAUGGACUCCAAUGGACUUCCAUGCAAUCCAUCUCUGUCAAAUGCAUUAAGGAAAUUACCUGUCAGAAACAUCAUGGCUGAGAUGCUGUGAUUAAACACAAACACGGAAAUGCUCAAGGGUACAGUGGAAUCAUUAGGGGGAAAAAACUAUACACAAACACCUCCUUCAACUGACUUUCCUUAGAAUUAAUUCUGUGGCAAAAUAUUUGAAAACUGCAGAGAGAUAGGUAACACGAAAGUCAUCGUGCACCCAUUCUGGCUGAAGCUGGACCCUGUGUUUCCAUCCACUAUCCCAUAAUAUCCCAUUGUUACAUGGAUAAAAUGAGAUCAACUCAAUGGACAUUCCUCGACUUACUGCAUGAUUUCAAAUGCAUUAUUUAAUCUAAGGCUCAAUUUCCUUAUGUGCAGGAUGGUGCAUUCAUAUGCAUAUCAGGGGUCACUGUUAUGCUUCAAAGAAAUAAAUUUAUAAAGGUUCAAGCAUACAUGUAUCCCAGUGCAAGUAUUCUUAUACUUAUUAUUAAAUAAUAAUUAUGAGGAAGCAUUAUUCAUGUUGUUAAUUAGUAUCCCCUUAAACACGCAUACAUGCUUAGAAGUCAAGGAUCUUGUUUAAGGUUUUUAGUGGAUAAGCAGAUGUACAGAAACUUGGGCUCAAGGCUGUUCUGACUGUAAAAGUUCAAGCUCUUUCUACAGCUCCUCCUUGCUCAAAUUCUUUAAAAAUUGAAGUUUCACAAGAGUUCACAAAGAGUUCAGGUGGACGGUUCAUAUCUCUUUAUACCCAUGGGAUCAGGACCUGUAUAAUUUGAACUCCCUGGGACUCUUAGUUUUCAUACUGUGGCUAACCCAGCAAGAAUGGUUUUAAAGGUAUUCUAAAGGUACCAAACUUGGAUAACUUCGUUAAUCUUUGAUCAUGAGAUUGAGUCCAUGGGGAACCACAGGGAGGUAAGAACCUGCACAUGACACAGCAGAACCAAUGCCCUAUGUCAUAAGGUGAGUUUGCCCAUAUACUGUAAUCACCAUCAUCUCUCCCCUGGAAUUCUGCUAAAGCCUCCUAACUCACCCCUCUGCUUCCACGCUUGCAUCCUCUCUGCAGUCCACUCUCCACAAAAUUCCUAUAAAAAUUAUCACGUGAAUGAUGUUCUCUCUCUGACAACUCCAACAGCUUUCUAUUGCUCUGAGACUAAAUUCCUUUGCCUUUGCAUGAGCAAAGAUUUCCUUGAUCUAUUUCUCCUCCAUCCUUCUUCUCUCCCUCUGGUUCUUGGAGCUUUUUAUUUUAUUUUUUUCCUGCUCUUCAAGCCACCUUGCCCUUCUCUGCCAAUGAUCACACACACACACACACACACACACACACACACACACACACGCCUUCUCAUGCUGAGGCUCCCAUUGUAGAUCAUGGCUUUCUUGCCCCACCAGGCUGCCAGCCAUCCCUAGGCAUCUGCACCACCCCUAGGCAUUCCACUUCUCACCAUCCAUUUAAUUUUCUUAAUGACCCCAUCGCAACUGAAAUUUUAUCCUCUCUUUUACUGGCUUACUUAUUCUUUAUCUCAGUCUCUUUUGAACUACUCCCCAGAUUAGAAUAGCUGCUUGGUAUGAGCGGAGACAGAUAAUCUUCACACCUAAAACUACACCUGACAUAGGAAGUGCUAAGUAUCUCCCUAUUGAACAAAACUGAAAGAUGAUGAAAAGAUCUGCAUAAACUGGAGUAAUGCUAAGCCCUAGCCUGCUUUCUGGGUGAGCCAUCUCUUCUAUGACUCCUGCCCGGAAACUACCAUUUGGUCCUGUAUCCUGAGGAGCACAAAGCAUCUGUUGUAUCUAAACUUUGAAUUGACCUCUGAAUGCUUAAUUAUUUAACAACAGUAAAUAAACGUCUUUGAUUCAAGAUGUCCAGUGGGCCUCAAAUGCUGGUACAAAACUUUAAACAAAAAAAUUACCCCUGCUUCUUCCUCUAAAUUUAAGGAGAGUAAUUCCCUACCUUCACGAACUUCUGCAAACUCACAAGCACACAGACUUGUAGUUAUUGGAGGAUAUAUCUUCCUAGUCCAUGAUGUCUUCCCAAAACAAGUCUAUCUCCCCUCAGGCACAUACACCUAUAAUAAAUACCUGGCCUGUGUGAAUCAACCCACUGGCUCUCAAUUAAUGGGACCAUGUUUGGAUACCAACCUCAACUGGGCCAAUUUUUUUUUUGUCUUUUGUCUUUUGAGGGCCACACCUGUGGCAUAUGGAGCUUCCCAGGCUAGGCGUCGAGUUGAAGCUGUAGCCAUGACCACAGCAACAUGGUAUUUGAGCCAUGUCUGCAACCUACACCACAGUUCAUGGCAAUGCUGGAUCCUUAACCCAUUGAGCGAGGCCAGGGAUCGAACCCGUGUCCUCACAGAUAUUAGUCGGGUUUGUUAACCCCUGAGCCAUGACAGGAACUCCUCAACUAUGCCAAUUUACUUCUCUCUCCUAGAGAAUUUGGAAUUAAGAGGGCCAUUCUCUUGGUUAUACUUUUACAUAUGCAGAAAACAUUUCUCUGUGCCUAGAAUGUGUAAAGCCUUGCUUUCAAUCCAUCUUUGCUUGUAGGAACUUAGGUUCUAAGAGGGGAAGCAUAUGGUAAAUGAGUGACUAAAGAACGGAAGAUAAUUUACGAUCCUAUCAUGCGAUUGGUAUGGCCAGGGAAGACCUUUGGAAGAGGGAACAUGUGUGCUGAAAGGCAAUUACCAUAAAUAAACUAGCGACGCAAGGAUCUGGGGAGAGUAUUCAGAAGGAGUGUGCACAAGGUGCAAAGUGGGGAAGAAAGGUAAAAUGUGAUAGGUGGGCCAUGCCUCACAGAGAAAAUGAUGAGUUGCUGUUCAUGGUGCUGCUGCCUUUCCUGCUCCCAGUUUCCUGGCAAGGCGUGUCCUGUUUCUCUCCCUCCUCUGGUAUCCUCUUGGCAUCUUCGGAAUGUUUUCAAACAAAAGUCUCCCUCUUCACUUAAGGGAGCCUGAAACGAAUUUCUGUUCUUUUCACCAAGAAGAAUUAGGACUCCCUCUUAUCCCACAGCUCACCAUAGCAUAUCAGGAAAUGGGCAAAAAGCUUGCAGAACAAGAAAUGAGAGCAGAUAUUCAGCUGCUGCUAAGC
This 4377-nucleotide long non-coding RNA is filed under the name Sus scrofa (pig). RNAcentral describes it as "lncRNA (ENSSSCG00025024466.1)". The record is from RNAcentral. Lineage: Eukaryota; Metazoa; Chordata; Mammalia; Artiodactyla; Suidae.